Molecule: long non-coding RNA, 408 nt
Organism: Brassica rapa (field mustard)
Lineage: Eukaryota; Viridiplantae; Streptophyta; Magnoliopsida; Brassicales; Brassicaceae
Source: RefSeq, a predicted model, not a curated record
GUAUAGCUGGUGAAUUCUUCUUAUAACAAAUUGCUGACAGAAUUCGGAACACACAUAAAAAGAAAAAGAGGACGUCCACUCGGAUCACGCAACAAACCAAAAGGUGUGUCAUGACUCCUAAGAUAUAGUAUUUCUUUAUUCAAAAUCAUACCAUUUUAAAUUAUGAAUGUAUUUCGUAGUCCACCAGAUAUGCAAUCUACCAGCGUUCAAACCAAAGUUUUAUGAUUGUAAGUUUAAGUGAAUUAUAAUAAUAUAUUCUUUUUUUUGUAACUGAUAAAAUAAUAUAUUCUUCACGGUAUCUUUUCAUAACUAAUUGAGUUAUCAAACUUGAUCGCAUAGGUGGCUUUGAUAAGUGUGACCUUUAUGGUGUACAAUUCUUUUCAACCUAAAAACAUUAUUGUUCCUCAA